CAGUCGAACGAGACUUUUUAUUUGAUGCUUGCAUCUUUUAAAAAGUUGAGUGGCGAACGGGUGAGUAACACGUGGGUAACCUACCUUAAAGUGGGGGAUAACACUUGGAAACAGGUGCUAAUACCGCAUAACCAUCAAAACCGCCUGGUUUUGAUGUUAAAGAUGGUUCUGCUAUCGCUUUAAGAUGGACCCGCGGCGUAUUAGCUAGUUGGUGAGGUAACGGCUUACCAAGGCAAUGAUACGUAGCCGCACUGAGAGGUUGAUCGGCCACAUUGGGACUGAGACACGGCCCAAACUCCUACGGGAGGCAGCAGUAGGGAAUCUUCCACAAUGGACGAAAGUCUGAUGGAGCAACGCCGCGUGAGUGAAGAAGGUUUUCGGAUCGUAAAACUCUGUUGUCAGAGAAGAACGUGUGUGAGAGUAACUGUUCACGCAGUGACGGUAUCUGACCAGAAAGUCACGGCUAACUACGUGCCAGCAGCCGCGGUAAUACGUAGGUGGCAAGCGUUGUCCGGAUUUAUUGGGCGUAAAGGGAACGCAGGCGGUCUUUUAAGUCUGAUGUGAAAGCCUUCGGCUUAACCGAAGUCGGGCAUUGGAAACUGGGAGACUUGAGUGCAGAAGAGGAGAGUGGAACUCCAUGUGUAGCGGUGAAAUGCGUAGAUAUAUGGAAGAACACCAGUGGCGAAAGCGGCUCUCUGGUCUGUAACUGACGCUGAGGUU
This 720-nucleotide ribosomal RNA is filed under the name uncultured bacterium. Its description in RNAcentral is "bacterial SSU rRNA". It matches the Rfam family "Bacterial small subunit ribosomal RNA", at positions 59 to 753 of the family's 1533-position model. The record is from RNAcentral.